RNAcentral lists this ribosomal RNA (460 nucleotides) under uncultured bacterium. Its description in RNAcentral is "partial 16S ribosomal RNA". It matches the Rfam family "Bacterial small subunit ribosomal RNA", at positions 338 to 795 of the family's 1533-position model. The record is from RNAcentral.
CCUACGGGAGGCAGCAGUGAGGAAUAUUGGUCAAUGGGCGCGCGCCUGAACCAGCCAAGUAGCGUGAAGGAUGAAUGCCCUACGGGUUGUAAACCUCUUUUAUAAGGGAAUAAAGUGAGGCACGUGUGCCUCUUUGUAUGUACUUUAUGAAUAAGGAUCGGCUAACUCCGUGCCAGCAGCCGCGGUAAUACGGAGGAUCCGAGCGUUAUCCGGAUUUAUUGGGUUUAAAGGGAGCGUAGAUGGGUUGUUAAGUCAGUGGUGAAAGUUUGCGGCUCAACCGUAAAAUUGCAAUUUAUACUGGCAGUCUUGAGUACAGUUGAGGUAGGCGGAAUUCGUGGUGUAGCGGUGAAAUGCUUAGAGAUCACGAAGAACUCCGAUUGCGAAGGCAGCUUACUAAACUGCCACUGACAUUGAUGCUCGAAAGUGUGGGUAUCAAACAGGAUUAGAUACCCUAGUAGUC